This 868-nucleotide long non-coding RNA is filed under the name Mytilus galloprovincialis (Mediterranean mussel). The record is from RNAcentral. Lineage: Eukaryota; Metazoa; Mollusca; Bivalvia; Mytilida; Mytilidae.
GAGAGUUUUUUUUCAGUAGUCAGGCUUUUAUAAUCCCUGUACAUCACCACCUGACUAUGAUUUUAAGGGGUUUGGUAUAUACAAACCAAAAAUUUGAAUAAUUGAUUAAUAAUAACAAAGAGUAAAUAAAUGUACAGAGUAAACAAAAAGAAAACGAAAAAAAUAUACAUCAGUUGCUUUUUUUAUAUGCAAAUUUAUAAAAAAAAUCUUCCCAUAGAGGUGUGAUACCACUAAAUCAUAGUACGUCACAUCUGAUUGCAUACGAAAAGGGGUAGAAAAAAAUACUCCCUUGAAUUUGACAGCUGUAUAAAUCCUGCAUUUCCUUGCAGUAAAAAAAUUCUGAGUCAUAAACAUAUAUCUUGGGUGGUUCAGAGCACCAUUGUGUUUUUUAUUCGGUGUUUCAAUAAAAUAGUUUGAAAAAUUGAAGUUACAUGGUCACUAAAUCUUGUAAACAUGAAAGAAAGGGGUGGACAUUUAAUUGAUUUACUACAAGUGCUGGUUAUUAUCUUAUAUACGAUGAAAUGUUAUGUGAAAUUUUGUCUGUAGUAAUGGACAGGAUAAAUCUUUACUCAUACCCAGUAGUUCUUUAUUUGAAACAAAGAUAGAUUUUGCUCAAUUAAAAAAAAAAAAUGCAAAUUUAACAAAGAAUAAAAGGGAAAAAUAAUGGUGGUAUUACACCUAGAUAUUAUGUAAGUACACAAUGUGUCAAUCGAACAUUGAACACAAAUAUAGAUCAAUAUACAAAUAUACUACUAGAUGCAUUUUACUACACAAUAUAGAAGAAGUUAAUAACGGUAAUGACAGGACUCUAGAGAUGAUAGAGCAUUUUCAUUGACAAACAAGAUUAGUAUGCACUCUAGACAUAAAU